Molecule: ribosomal RNA, 253 nt
Filed under: uncultured bacterium
Lineage: Bacteria
Description: partial 16S ribosomal RNA
Rfam family: Bacterial small subunit ribosomal RNA
Source: RNAcentral
UACGUAGGGUGCAAGCGUUGUCCGGAAUUAUUGGGCGUAAAGAGCUCGUAGGCGGUUUGUCGCGUCUGCUGUGAAAGUCCAGGGCUCAACCCUGGGAUGCCGGUCGAUACUGCCGGACUAGAGUUCGGAAGAGGCGAGUGGAAUUCCCGGUGUAGCGGUGAAAUGCGCAGAUAUCGGGAGGAACACCUAUGGCGAAGGCAGCUCGCUGGGACGUUACUGACGCUGAGACGCGAAAGCGUGGGGAGCAAACAGG